Molecule: non-coding RNA, 714 nt
Organism: Odocoileus virginianus texanus
Lineage: Eukaryota; Metazoa; Chordata; Mammalia; Artiodactyla; Cervidae
Source: RefSeq, a predicted model, not a curated record
GGAAGGAGGCGGGGCCUAGAAGGGGCGGGGUCUCAAGGGGGCGGAGCGUCGAGCCGGCUUCUGGGGUCGCAAGGAUGGAGAAAGCUAGUAAACCCGCUUGGGGGCUCCCCGAGAGCGGUCGGGGGCCGGGGGGCCCUUGAGCUUCGGGAGAGCCAGACCUCGGCUUUGGGGGCUGAAACUUUGCUUGGACCCCCCUCGAAACCUGCAGGAUAGCAGAGGCUGGGGCCUGGCAGGGGGCAGGCAGGCAGGAAGUGGGUACCCGGAGGCCGGCUUCUCUUUCCCCACGACCUUGGAGCGAGGCACCUCCUUCUGCAGCUCCGUACGUGUGUUUUUAGAACGUUUCCCGGCGCUGGCUCCGCUCUCCGCGAAGCAUGGCCACGCCCCGUCCAAGCUGGAGCGUGAGAAAUUAUUGUCCCCAAGUCAGAAGCCGAGGCCCGAAAGGGGGAAGACAGGUUCAAGGCCGCGCCGCCGGCCCUACCCUCUGAAGCCUCAGUUUCCCUGUCCGUGGUGCUGAUGAUGCCUGGGCCUAUGGGCGCGGGGAGGGCGGGGCGGCGUCCCCGCGACCUCCCUGAACACUGGCCAAAGCAAAAAUCCUGUAUAUCCCAAUUUCUCCCUUUGCCUCUUUGGAACGUUUCCUCAGAGCUCUCUGAAAGGCUAUUUCCUAGACUACACUCCUCAAGAAGGUCCCCAAAUAAACAUACCUCUCAGCUCUUA